CCCAAGGGUAUGGCUGUUCGCCAUUUAAAGUGGUACGCGAGCUGGGUUUAGAACGUCGUGAGACAGUUCGGUCCCUAUCUGCCGUGGGCGCUGGAGAAUUGAGGGGGGCUGCUCCUAGUACGAGAGGACCGGAGUGGACGCAUCACUGGUGUUCGGGUUGUCAUGCCAAUGGCACUGCCCGGUAGCUAAAUGCGGAAGAGAUAAGUGCUGAAAGCAUCUAAGCACGAAACUUGCCCCGAGAUGAGUUCUCCCUGAGACUAUAAGUCUCCUGAAGGAACGUUAAAGACGAUGACGUUGAU
Molecule: ribosomal RNA, 299 nt
Filed under: Klebsiella pneumoniae
Lineage: Bacteria; Pseudomonadati; Pseudomonadota; Gammaproteobacteria; Enterobacterales; Enterobacteriaceae
Description: partial 23S ribosomal RNA
Rfam family: Bacterial large subunit ribosomal RNA
Source: RNAcentral